UAAAAAUGGAGUCCAGAAACCAUAAAAAACGGGGCGGAACUGAAAAGCCAUAAGAGUAAGAAAACA
Pedobacter ginsenosidimutans is the source of this 66-nucleotide non-coding RNA. The record is from Rfam. NCBI's taxonomy places the organism in Bacteria, Pseudomonadati, Bacteroidota, Sphingobacteriia, Sphingobacteriales, Sphingobacteriaceae.